RNAcentral lists this ribosomal RNA (305 nucleotides) under uncultured bacterium. Its description in RNAcentral is "bacterial SSU rRNA". It matches the Rfam family "Bacterial small subunit ribosomal RNA", at positions 333 to 635 of the family's 1533-position model. The record is from RNAcentral.
CGUCCCCUACGGGGGGCAGCAGUGAGGAAUAUUGGUCAAUGGUCGGGAGACUGAACCAGCCAAGCCGCGUGAGGGAUGAAGGUACAGAGUAUCGUAAACCUCUUUUGUCAGGGAACAAAGGCGGGGACGUGUCCCCGGAUGAGUGUACCUGAAGAAAAAGCAUCGGCUAACUCCGUGCCAGCAGCCGCGGUAAUACGUAGGGUGCGAGCGUUAAUCGGAAUUACUGGGCGUAAAGGGUGUGCAGGCGGCUGAGUAAGACAGAUGUGAAAUCCCCGGGCUUAACCUGGGAACCGCAUAUGUGACUC